RNAcentral lists this ribosomal RNA (450 nucleotides) under uncultured bacterium. RNAcentral's name for it is "partial 16S ribosomal RNA". It matches the Rfam family "Bacterial small subunit ribosomal RNA", at positions 354 to 796 of the family's 1533-position model. The record is from RNAcentral.
GUGGGGAAUAUUGGACAAUGGGCGAAAGCCUGAUCCAGCCAUGCCGCGUGUGUGAAGAAGGUCUUCGGAUUGUAAAGCACUUUAAGUUGGGAGGAAGGGCAGUAAGUUAAUACCUUGCUGUUUUGACGUUACCGACAGAAUAAGCACCGGCUAACUUCGUGCCAGCAGCCGCGGUAAUACGAAGGGUGCAAGCGUUAAUCGGAAUUACUGGGCGUAAAGCGCGCGUAGGUGGUUUUGUAAGUUGGAGGUGAAAUCCCCGGGCUCAACCAGGGAACUGCCUCAAAAACUGCAUGACUAGAGUACGGUAGAGGGUAGUGGAAUUUCCUGUGUAGCGGUGAAAUGCGUAGAUAUAGGAAGGAACACCAGUGGCGAAGGCGACUACCUGGACUGAUACUGACACUGAGGUGCGAAAGCGUGGGGAGCAAACAGGAUUAGAAACCCUGGUAGUCC